Sus scrofa (pig) is the source of this 118-nucleotide non-coding RNA. NCBI's taxonomy places the organism in Eukaryota, Metazoa, Chordata, Mammalia, Artiodactyla, Suidae. The record is from Rfam.
AUCCAGGGCCAUACUACCCUGAAUGCACCCAAUCUCAUCUGAUCUUAGAAGCUAAGCAGGAUUGGACUGGGUUACUACUUGGGUGGGAGAAAUCAAAAGAAAGCCAGAGCUGUAAUAG